GUUAUAUGGUCAAGUGAAGAAGCGCAUACGGUGGAUGCCUUGGCAGUCAGAGGCGAUGAAAGACGUGGUAGCCUGCGAAAAGCUUCGGGGAGUCGGCAAACAGACUGUGAUCCGGAGAUGUCUGAAUGGGGGAACCCAGCCAUCAUAAGAUGGUUAUCUUACACUGAAUACAUAGGUGUAAGAGGCGAACCAGGGGAACUGAAACAUCUAAGUACCCUGAGGAAAAGAAAUCAACCGAGAUUCCCUUAGUAGUGGCGAGCGAACGGGGACCAGCCCUUAAGUUGUAUUGAGAUUAGCGGAACGCUCUGGAAAGGGCGGCCAUAGUGGGUGAUAGCCCUGUACGCGAAAAUCCCUUUGCAAUGAAAUCGAGUAGGACGGGGCACGAGAAACCUUGUCUGAAUAUGGGGGGACCAUCCUCCAAGGCUAAAUACUACUGACUGACCGAUAGUGAACCAGUACCGUGAGGGAAAGGCGAAAAGAACCGCGGAGAGCGGAGUGAAAUAGAUCCUGAAACCGUAUGCGUACAAGCAGUGGGAGCCCACGUUGUUGGGUGACUGCGUACCUUUUGUAUAAUGGGUCAGCGACUUAUUUUCAGUGGCGAGCUUAACCGAAUAGGGGAGGCGUAGCGAAAGCGAGUCUUAAUAGGGCGUCUAGUCGCUGGGAAUAGACCCGAAACCGGGCGAUCUAUCCAUGGGCAGGUUGAAGGUUGGGUAACACUAACUGGAGGACCGAACCGACUACCGUUGAAAAGUUAGCGGAUGACCUGUGGAUCGGAGUGAAAGGCUAAUCAAGCUCGGAGAUAGCUGGUUCUCCUCGAAAGCUAUUUAGGUAGCGCCUCAUGUAUCACUGUAGGGGGUAGAGCACUGUUUCGGCUAGGGGGUCAUCCCGACUUACCAAACCGAUGCAAACUCCGAAUACCUACAAGUGCCGAGCAUGGGAGACACACGGCGGGUGCUAACGUCCGUCGUGAAAAGGGAAACAACCCAGACCGUCAGCUAAGGUCCCAAAGUCAUGGUUAAGUGGGAAACGAUGUGGGAAGGCUUAGACAGCUAGGAGGUUGGCUUAGAAGCAGCCACCCUUUAAAGAAAGCGUAAUAGCUCACUAGUCGAGUCGGCCUGCGCGGAAGAUGUAACGGGGCUCAAACCAUGCACCGAAGCUACGGGUAUCACCUUUGGUGAUGCGGUAGAGGAGCGUUCUGUAAGCCUGUGAAGGUGAGUUGAGAAGCUUGCUGGAGGUAUCAGAAGUGCGAAUGCUGACAUGAGUAACGACAAUGGGUGUGAAAAACACCCACGCCGAAAGACCAAGGUUUCCUGCGCAACGUUAAUCGACGCAGGGUUAGUCGGUCCCUAAGGCGAGGCUGAAAAGCGUAGUCGAUGGAAAACAGGUUAAUAUUCCUGUACUUCUGGUUAUUGCGAUGGAGGGACGGAGAAGGCUAGGCCAGCCUGGCGUUGGUAGUCCAGGUUUAAGGUGGUAGGCUGAGAUCUUAGGUAAAUCCGGGAUCUUAAGGCCGAGAGCUGAUGACGAGUGUUCUUUUAGAACAUGAAGUGGUUGAUGCCAUGCUUCCAAGAAAAGCUUCUAAGCUUCAGGUAACCAGGAACCGUACCCCAAACCGACACAGGUGGUUGGGUAGAGAAUACCAAGGCGCUUGAGAGAACUCGGGUGAAGGAACUAGGCAAAAUGGCACCGUAACUUCGGGAGAAGGUGCGCCGGUGAGGGUGAAGCAUUUACUGCGUAAGCCCACGCCGGUCGAAGAUACCAGGCCGCUGCGACUGUUUAUUAAAAACACAGCACUCUGCAAACACGAAAGUGGACGUAUAGGGUGUGACGCCUGCCCGGUGCCGGAAGGUUAAUUGAUGGGGUUAGCGCAAGCGAAGCUCUUGAUCGAAGCCCCGGUAAACGGCGGCCGUAACUAUAACGGUCCUAAGGUAGCGAAAUUCCUUGUCGGGUAAGUUCCGACCUGCACGAAUGGCGUAACGAUGGCGGCGCUGUCUCCACCCGAGACUCAGUGAAAUUGAAAUCGCUGUGAAGAUGCAGUGUAUCCGCGGCUAGACGGAAAGACCCCGUGAACCUUUACUAUAGCUUUGCACUGGACUUUGAAUUUGCUUGUGUAGGAUAGGUGGGAGGCUUUGAAGCGUGGACGCCAGUCUGCGUGGAGCCAACCUUGAAAUACCACCCUGGCAACUUUGAGGUUCUAACUCAGGUCCGUUAUCCGGAUCGAGGACAGUGUAUGGUGGGUAGUUUGACUGGGGCGGUCUCCUCCUAAAGAGUAACGGAGGAGUACGAAGGUGCGCUCAGACCGGUCGGAAAUCGGUCGUAGAGUAUAAAGGCAAAAGCGCGCUUGACUGCGAGACAGACACGUCGAGCAGGUACGAAAGUAGGUCUUAGUGAUCCGGUGGUUCUGUAUGGAAGGGCCAUCGCUCAACGGAUAAAAGGUACUCCGGGGAUAACAGGCUGAUACCGCCCAAGAGUUCAUAUCGACGGCGGUGUUUGGCACCUCGAUGUCGGCUCAUCACAUCCUGGGGCUGAAGCCGGUCCCAAGGGUAUGGCUGUUCGCCAUUUAAAGUGGUACGCGAGCUGGGUUUAGAACGUCGUGAGACAGUUCGGUCCCUAUCUGCCGUGGACGUUUGAGAUUUGAGAGGGGCUGCUCCUAGUACGAGAGGACCGGAGUGGACGAACCUCUGGUGUUCCGGUUGUCACGCCAGUGGCAUUGCCGGGUAGCUAUGUUCGGAAAAGAUAACCGCUGAAAGCAUCUAAGCGGGAAACUUGCCUCAAGAUGAGAUCUCACUGGAACCUUGAGUUCCCUGAAGGGCCGUCGAAGACUACGACGUUGAUAGGUUGGGUGUGUAAGCGCUGUGAGGCGUUGAGCUAACCAAUACUAAUUGCCCGUGAGGCUUGACCAUAUAACACCCAAGCAAUU
RNAcentral lists this ribosomal RNA (2917 nucleotides) under Pseudomonas syringae pv. tomato. RNAcentral's name for it is "bacterial LSU rRNA". It matches the Rfam family "Bacterial large subunit ribosomal RNA". The record is from RNAcentral. RNAcentral also lists the same sequence under 1 other name. Lineage: Bacteria; Pseudomonadati; Pseudomonadota; Gammaproteobacteria; Pseudomonadales; Pseudomonadaceae.